GGGGUGAGCUGCGACACAGCUGAGCUGGCGAGGGUCCGCAGGCUUGCUCGGGAGCUCGGGCCCGCUCCUCCCCACCGGGGCAGCCACUGCCAGAAGGGACCGGACCGGAGACCUUCCUCCUCAGGCUGGAGGAAUCCCCAGCCAGCCUGCGCAGCCAUCAAGCUGCAACAAGAGGGAUUCACGGUAGACUUCGCCCCAGGACCAAACCAUUUGCAACCGAAAGCUCCAUGCCGCUUCUUUCUCCACCAAAAGCCAGAUGGAUCCGUUCCAGCUCAGCAUUCCCGUCAGGAGACAAGCACAAGGUGCCACAUCCCUAAUGCCUGCCCCGAGGAGGGCAGCUGGAGGAGGGAAGGGGGGCAGGGGAGGGUGCAGAGGGCCUCUGGCAAAGUCUCUUGCCUACGGACGUG
This 407-nucleotide long non-coding RNA is filed under the name Ornithorhynchus anatinus (platypus). RNAcentral's name for it is "lncRNA (ENSOANG00000039134.1)". The record is from RNAcentral. Lineage: Eukaryota; Metazoa; Chordata; Mammalia; Monotremata; Ornithorhynchidae.